Molecule: ribosomal RNA, 288 nt
Filed under: Legionella pneumophila subsp. pneumophila
Lineage: Bacteria; Pseudomonadati; Pseudomonadota; Gammaproteobacteria; Legionellales; Legionellaceae
Description: partial 16S ribosomal RNA
Rfam family: Bacterial small subunit ribosomal RNA
Source: RNAcentral
CACCGGCUAACUCCGUGCCAGCAGCCGCGGUAAUACGGAGGGUGCGAGCGUUAAUCGGAAUUACUGGGCGUAAAGGGUGCGUAGGUUGCUGAUUAAGUUAUCUGUGAAAUUCCUGGGCUCAACCUGGGGUGGUCAGAUAAGACUGGUUAGCUGGAGUAUAGGAGAGGGUAGUGGAAUUUCCGGUGUAGCGGUGAAAUGCGUAGAGAUCGGAAGGAACACCAGUGGCGAAGGCGGCUACCUGGCCUAAUACUGACACUGAGGCACGAAAGCGUGGGGAGCGAACAGGAU